RNAcentral lists this ribosomal RNA (279 nucleotides) under uncultured bacterium. RNAcentral's name for it is "partial 16S ribosomal RNA". It matches the Rfam family "Bacterial small subunit ribosomal RNA", at positions 506 to 784 of the family's 1533-position model. The record is from RNAcentral.
UGCCAGCCGCCGCGGUAAUACGAAGGGGGCUAGCGUUGUUCGGAAUUACUGGGCGUAAAGCGCACGUAGGCGGACUUUUAAGUCAGAUGUGAAAUCCCGGGGCUCAACCCCGGAACUGCCUCCAAAACUAUCAGUCUAGAGUUCGAGAGAGGUGAGUGGAAUUCCGAGUGUAGAGGUGAAAUUCGUAGAUAUUCGGAGGAACACCAGUGGCGAAGGCGACACUCUGGCACAUUUCUGACGCUGAGGUGCGAAAGCGUGGGGAGCAAACAGGAUUAGAUA